UAGGACAUGGUGUAAUGGUAGCACUGAGAAUUUUGAAUUCUUAGGUUUAGGUUCAACCCCUAUUGUUCUAG
RNAcentral lists this transfer RNA (71 nucleotides) under Hylomyscus anselli (Ansell's wood mouse). RNAcentral describes it as "tRNA-Gln". It matches the Rfam family "tRNA". Rfam says of the family: Transfer RNA (tRNA) molecules are approximately 80 nucleotides in length. Lineage: Eukaryota; Metazoa; Chordata; Mammalia; Rodentia; Muridae. The record is from RNAcentral.